ACUGCUCAGUAACACGUAGUUAACCUACCCUAUGGUCGGAGAUACCCUCGGGAAACUGAGGUUAAAAUCCGAUAGAAGAUUUUCCCUGGAAAGAUUGAUCUUUGAAACUUGUGCCAUAGGACGGGACUGCGGCUGAUUAGGUUGUUGGCGGGGUAAAAGCCCACCAAGCCGAUGAUCAGUAAGGGCUCUUAGCGGAGGGGCCCUGAGAGGGAAUCUGAGACACUAUUCCCAGCCCUACGGGGUGCAGCAGUUAGGAAUCUUUUACAAUGCGCGAAAGCGUGAUAAAGCGAGCCAGAGUGCGUUUCUACAUGAAACGCUUUUGUUUGCUGUAAAAAGGCAGACGAAUAAGGACUGGGUAAGACGAGUGCCAGCCGCCGCGGUAAUACUCGCGGUCCAAGUCGCAGCCAUCUUUAUUGGGUCUAAAAUAUCCGUAGCUUGCUCUUUAAGUUUCUUGUGAAAUCCUGUGUCUUAAAUACAGGGCGGGCAAGAAAUACUAUUGAGCUAGAGACCGGGAGACGUGAAGAGUACGGUAGAAGUAGUGGUAAAAUACGUUAAUCUCUAUCGGACUUACAAUAGCGAAGGCACUUCACGAGCACGGUUCUGACAGUGAGGGAUGAAGGCUAGGGGCGCAAAAGGGAUUAGAUACCCCUGUAGUCCUAGCAGUAAACACUGCGCACUAAACAUUGGUACCUCCUCGAGAGGUAUCAGUGCUGAAGGGAAGCCGAAGAGUGCGCUACCUGGGGAAGUAUAGCCGCAAGGCCGAAACUUAAAGGAAUUGGCGGGGGAG
This 787-nucleotide ribosomal RNA is filed under the name uncultured archaeon. Its description in RNAcentral is "bacterial SSU rRNA". It matches the Rfam family "Archaeal small subunit ribosomal RNA", at positions 85 to 876 of the family's 1478-position model. The record is from RNAcentral.